Molecule: unclassified non-coding RNA, 355 nt
Filed under: Lytechinus variegatus (green sea urchin)
Lineage: Eukaryota; Metazoa; Echinodermata; Echinoidea; Temnopleuroida; Toxopneustidae
Description: uncharacterized LOC121419852, transcript variant X2
Source: RNAcentral
GCGAAAGAGUCGAAAGAGAUCUGGAAUCGGAGAGGGGAGAGAUGAAUCGAUACUUGUCUUUUCAGACGCCAGCCACAUCGGGUGUGGAGCUUGGUCAGCAGAGUGUGGCGGACUCAAAUUCCAACACAUCUGGUCAGAAGAAGAGCAAGGUAAAAGUUCCACUUGGAGAGAACUUAAAGGUGUUGCACUGGCAGUACAUGCAUUUGGAAAGAGUAUAAGAAACCAGACAGUAAAGAUUUUCACCGAUAAUACUGGAGUAGAGAAGAUCAUAAAGAAGGGUAGUAUGAAAAAUGAUCUCCAUCAGCUGAGUAUUGACUUAGCAGAUUACUGUAAUCAAAUGAAUAUAGUAAUGGAG